AGGAGGUGUGAGCAUGACGGUCAACAGUGAUCGCAAAAGGUUACAGCCCAUGGAGAAAGACCUCACUUGGUUAGUGCUGGUUCACAUAAGGAAGGUAGAAAGCCACCCUCAACAACCCUCACUGUGGUUGUAUAGCCAUUAUCCUGGGGCCUGGCCGGGAGCAGGGGUCUUGGGACAUCCCUGGCUUCUCUCCUGCCUGAACACAUGGCAUUAGAGCCAGCCUGUGCCACAGAGGGGCCACCUGCCACCCAGACUGUCAAGACAUAACGUAGGGCAAGGCCAGCUCAUAUAGGGCCUGAGGAUCAAGAAGGAGCAGGAUGCUGCAGGGACAUCAGGAAGGGACUCUGUGGCCUGGUUGGUGGUUUUGGUCAUAAAGGACCUGUCCUCGAGUGCGGAGACACCUCUGUGUAGGAGCAAGAGGCAGAGUGAAGGGGCAGCUCAGCAUUCUCUUCAGACACAGCUUCUGUAAAUUCAGUUGUUUCAAAUUAAAUUUUAAAAACAGUCAAAUGUGGCUCAUCAAAGUGAUUUCUCAAAGCUGUGCAGUUGACCUGGGCACCAAGCUCCUUGUUCCUGGCAGAGCAGCUGUGCCAGGAACCACGGCACCGCAGUCCCUGUGGUCUGAGUGGAACCAGCGACUGUCAUCUACAUAUGGCAUCGUGUAUCACAGGAAUGCAUGUGCAGGACUUGGACCAGUGUACGGUGCAGAGGAACCACUUUGUAGUCCUUAGUUUCCUUUUUAAAAUGAGGGCAGAUCCCUGUCCUCAAGUGCUCAUAGCAUUUCUAAACCUU
RNAcentral lists this long non-coding RNA (789 nucleotides) under Marmota monax (woodchuck). Lineage: Eukaryota; Metazoa; Chordata; Mammalia; Rodentia; Sciuridae. The record is from RNAcentral.